CCAACCUAAAAAAAAAAGUCUAACACUAGAGAAUUAGAGUUUGUCAAAGGUGUUAAAAAUAAAAUGAGUGUGAAUGUCCUACAAGGUUUAUGAGAAAGUUCAGAAGGAAAGUAAAGAAAGACUAAGCAGCAAGACUUUUAGUAUUGCUGCAUCCUGGAGAAGGCAGCACUUGAGCCACCAUCUUGGAAGUGAAGAUCAGGCCCUCAGCAGACACAAAACCUGCCAGUGCCAUGAUCUUGGAUUUUUCAACCUGCAGGACUAUUCAAUGAAAUUCCAAUGAAAAUCUCAAGUUAUUAUGUGAAUAUUGAAAAACGAACCCUAAAGUUCAUAUGGAGAGCCAAAAAAUGCAAAAGAGCCAGCACAUAUUGAAAGAGAAGAACAAAGUCGGAAGAUUGACACUACCUGACUUCAAGGCUUAUGAUAAAGCUUCAGUAAUAAAGACAGUGUGGUAUGGACAAACUAAUAGAAAUAUAGAUCAAUGGAACAGAAUAGAGAACCCAGAAAUAGAUUCACAUAAAUAUAUUGUCAACUGACCUUUGACAAAUAAGAAAAAGCAAUACAGUAGAGCAAAAAUAGCCUUUUCACUAAACAAAUGAACAUCCACAUUCAAAAAAAAAAAUGAAUCUAGAUGGAGACUUACAUGCUUCACAAAAAUUAACUCAAAAUGAAUAAUAAACCUAAAUGUAAAACACAAAACAAUAAAAAUCCUAGAAAUAACAUGGAAGAAAAUCUAGAUAACCAUGGGGAUGAAGAAGACUUUUUAGAUACAGCAUCAUUGGUAUAAUCCACGAAAGAAAAAAUAGAUAAGCUGGACUUCAAUGAAAUUAAAAUUUCUGUUCUGCAUAAGACAAUGUCUAGAUAACAAGAAAACAAGGCACAGACUGGGAAGGCAUAUUUGGAAAAGACACAUCUGAUAGAGGACAGUUAUCUAAAAUAUAUCAUGCACCCUUAAAGUUCAACAAUAAUCAAACAAUCUGACUGACAAAUAGGCUGAAGACCUUAAGAGACACUUUACUUAAAGAAGAUUAUACAGAUGGGAAAUAAGCAAUGACAAGAUGGUCCACAUCAUAUGUCAUCAGAAAAAUGUAAAUUAAAACCAUGAGAUACUACAGUGCAUCUGUUAAAAUGGCCCAAAUCUGGAAAACUGACAACAUCAAAUGCUCAUGAAGCU
Molecule: long non-coding RNA, 1171 nt
Filed under: Pan troglodytes (chimpanzee)
Lineage: Eukaryota; Metazoa; Chordata; Mammalia; Primates; Hominidae
Description: long non-coding RNA NONPTRT012484
Source: RNAcentral